CCUACGGGGGGCAGCAGUGGGGAAUAUUGCACAAUGGGGGAAACCCUGAUGCAGCAACGCCGCGUGAGUGAAGAAGUAUUUCGGUAUGUAAAGCUCUAUCAGCAGGGAAGAGAAUGACGGUACCUGACUAAGAAGCCCCGGCUAACUACGUGCCAGCAGCCGCGGUAAUACGUAGGGGGCGAGCGUUAUCCGGAUUUACUGGGUGUAAAGGGAGCGUAGACGGUUCUGCAAGUCUGAAGUGAAAGCCCGUGGCUUAACUGCGGAACGGCUUUGGAAACUGUGGAACUGGAGUGCUGGAGAGGCAAGCGGAAUUCCUAGUGUAGCGGUGAAAUGCGUAGAUAUUAGGAGGAACACCAGUGGCGAAGGCGACGAUCUGGCCUGCAACUGACGCUCAGUCCCGAAAGCGUGGGGAGCAAAUAGGAUUAGAUACCCUUGUAGUC
Molecule: ribosomal RNA, 440 nt
Filed under: uncultured bacterium
Lineage: Bacteria
Description: partial 16S ribosomal RNA
Rfam family: Bacterial small subunit ribosomal RNA
Source: RNAcentral